CAAAGGCAGAUCUCCUUCUAACCAUGUUAGCCAAUGCUCCUUUAUUUCAGGCAGCCCAAGAAUCUCAUUCUAAAUAUCAUCAGGCUGCUCGAGCUUUACAUUUGCAAAUUUAGGAUAACAAAAGAGGAAGCUAGGAGCAAAGUAAAAGCCUGUACAGCUUGCCUAACUUUCCCUUGAUCCUGUGCUGCCUCUAGGGAAGAAUCCUUGUGGUAUGAGACCCAAUGAAUUUGGCAAAUAUAUUUCAUCCAUAUUGAGAGAUAGAUCAUCCAUGUAAUCAUGGAUACACAUUCUCAAUUCCUCAUGGCUUCACUCCAAUCUGAGGAAGUGGUUAGGCAUGUAAUCAGCCAUCUUUGUCAUUGUUUUUCCAUUGCAGGAGUCCCACACGCACUUAAGACAAGUAAUGGACCAGCUUAUACAUCUUCUGCCUUUCAGUCCCUCUGCACUGAAUUUGACAUUGCCCAUUCCACUGCUAUCCCAUAUAAUCCUAUCAGCCAUGCCGUUAUUGGACAGGCUGUUUGUACCCCCCAAAAUGCUCCUGUCUAAACAAGAAAAGGGAGUAUAGGGGUUUGUAUGACCUCUACCUGAUUCACACAGGCUCACUUAUUAGAUGCAUCAUUAUAUACAUACAAUUGCCUGCAAUUUUCACAUUCUUUGGACCUUACCCCAGCAAUGCACUUUUGGCACACGCAGAAGGUGCAACUAACUAAUAGACUGGCCAACAAGGACAAGAGCCCUUUUUCCACAGUGAUGUGGAAGGGCAUCUGGAAGGGUCCGGGUUGGGUCAGGAUUUGGGGACCCAGGUAUGCUCUUGUCUUUCCAGAUGCAGACCCAACAGCAGAGGAGUAGAUCUCAACCAGAAACAUCCAUGACCUGGGGAACCAAGAAGAGAACGACCAGAUGACAACAUUGUCCCUGACAAUGGCCCAGAAGGAUCAGCCAGAUGUCAGUAGCCCUUCAGAUGCUGAUGACAGCCAUGUCCCUCCUGAACAUGACACCAAAGAUGGCGAACACAACACCAGUGUUACAGUUGAAUUGGACUGCUCUGGUGGAUGCGCAACACUUAGAGGCUCACAAAAUUGGACAAUGGGCUUCUGUGCUUCUCCCGUGGCCUCCUGCUAUUCAUAUGAUGGUCUGGGGAGAGGCUUUGCCCAAUUUUCCACUUUAAGUGGAUCUUCCUCCCAGAAGUCCCAAGCCAGUUCUUUAUAUGACGUUUUGGAAGGUGGGAUUUUAAUUUGGAAGAUGUCAAAAGCUGGCUUCUGUAAGGCUGGAGAAGAUCAAGGAAUUUCAGGGACCUCUGUAAAUGCCCAAAUAAAUGCCAGUCUCUCCAUAUAGACUUGUGCUUUUCUUUUAAUGACUAUUGAAAUUAGGAGGAGAGGAAAGAGGAUCCCAAGUUCAUUUUGUAUGGCUGGAGAGGGCCAGGGAAUUUCAGGGACCUCUUGGUUCUGGGCAAAUGCCAUUCUCUCAUUAUCUGAGUACCUAGGGAGGCCAAUGUCAUAUAAUGCUUGUCAUAUAAUGAUUGUUGCAGUUAGGAAGAAAAGACACUCCCUAGUUUACUUCUUUCCCUGUUUUUCUCAUUAGGGAAAUUUUGGGAGACUCUUGGUUCUGUGGAAGCUCAUCAAAAUCUGAAACAUUUUUAUUGGAGCAUACCUCUACAGUUUAAGGAAUUUCUGUAACAUAAUAUGCUUGUUAUAAAAUGAGAUUGUACCUUUUCCCCUGAGUUGAUCCUCACUGGAAUUUGUAUCUUUCAUUCUCAGGAGCAUGAAAUGGAGUAUGAAUGCUUUUCACUGAAUUCAGAAAUUAAGGGUAAAAGAUCCCUAAUUAAAUCAAAUUAUUGCAGUUCCUCCUCUUUACUUUAUGAUCUCUCUCUUCUCUCUCUCGCUCAUCUUCUAGUAGAGUGUGCUCCAUUUCCAUGUCUGUAUCUUCCAUCAUGUUCCCAUUGGCCUCCCUAGGUACUCAGGUUGUGAUCAAGGUUUGAGAAUGAUGAUAAGACUUGAGUAGCAGUGUGAAAGGACCUUCACAAAAAAGGUUAGAAAUAUUUUCUUCUAUUUGGUCACUGAGCAAGCCUUCCAAGAUUUCAUCUUAUUCUCCAAAUCUCUUAGAAGAGCAAAAAAAGGUACAAGUGAGUCUCCCAAGCUCCUAGGCAGCAAUCCAAGUUCAGCUGGCUAGAGCUCUCCAUUGCUCGGGGUUUUUCUUUCUGGGACAUGGAAAAAACAGCAGAGGGAGAAAAGGAGAUUGUAGAAACUAGGAAAAGGAAGGGUCCCCAGGCCUAGGGGAUAUGCUCUAGAUAAAUGAGAGGGGAGGCUUUGCAUAUCAUAUAUAGUGAAUCUGAUUUUUUCCCACUUGAACAAAGAGUGUUGUCACAAGGUUAUGUGAAAAUACCUUUGGCCUCAACCUUCUGAUCCGGGUAGAAUUGCUCUCCCUACCCCAAGACUAUGUGACCCUUUAAAGGAGGAGGGGGCAGGAAGCAUAGGAUAAAGUCUACUUCUGGCCAACAAUCAUAGUUGCAAGGUGGUAUAGGGUAGAGUCACCUUUUAUAAAGCUGGUCAUACUAUAUAUGCUUUGGGCAAUUACAAGACUAUUCACUGACUUCAGAAAUUAAUAUCAGUCAUAAGGAUCUCAUGGCCAAUGAAGCUCUACUCCAGGGCAUUGAUAUGACAGGGUCUGCCUUCUACCUUGACUGUUUCCUGGCUCCACACCAACCUUCCCCAUGUGGUACCUUAUGUCAAAUAUUGUCCAAUUAGGUCCUUCUUACUGCUCCCUUUCAGUUUAAAUGGUUCAACACCCAACAAUUUACCCCAGGUAUGGUGCAGCUUGAGUAUGAGUGUGUCCAGCUAGCAAGUUAUUUCUACCCUCUAUGCUCAUUCCAUCUGAAGGUAAAGAGAUAGGGGUGGUAGGAGCAGCCUUUCUCCUGCUCUGCCUAAAAGUUUUAAGUUGGAAAUAACUUACAGGAAAAAUGGAGCUGAAAGGGAAGCAGAAUGAACCUCCAUUAGGUUUAUAGUUUGAAGGCUUUAUUUAGGUAAGCUCUCUAUUCUUUGCUUCUCCUCCUUCUCUUUGCUAUAAAGAGAGCAUAUCUCUUAUAUGUAAAGAGAACAACAAGAUAACAUAUCUCGUAAUUCUAAAAUACCAAUUUUUUAUGUGUCCAAACCCUGAACCUCAACUUCUCAAAUAAACAAAAUGAAUACUUUGCUCCUGUUUUCUUGGGGGAAGGGAUAACUAAGGAGGAGCGGGUGAGUCCUUCUUCAUCAUGGCCCAGAAGCCUUGCUCCUCUUCCUCCCAGGGAUCAGAUUAAUCUGAGUUGAGGAGGGAGAACAGUAUAGAGAAAAAAAAUGUUAAGGAGAUGGCAGAAGAUAAUGCUAUUGAAAGGCAAAAAAUUAUGGUUAUUUUUCUUGCCCAUUCAAUAGACUGUCUCUAAUUAAAUUCAACUAUUCAAAGUUAGGGGUAUGAAGUAUUUCUAGGAUAAGAUUAAUAAACACAGCAGAAUUCAGUAUCAUGGUGAUAAAAAUUCCUGUGGUCUGGGUUUUUUCCUUUUUAGGGAAUAUCAUUGGCAGACAUGAAAUGUAGCUAUUCCCACUAAAUCUAAAGAUAAGCAAGAAGGAUGCUUUUGAUUGUUCUUGGCAUGAAACAGUUUUGUGCUGACAGCUGCAUUGUGUAACCAAUAGGGACUCUGACCCCUUUGCUCCCCCUUUUUUUUUGCAUUUCCUCCUCCUCCUUUUAGGGUGGGUUCUGUAAGUAGAGACCUUUAAGGCAUCAAUGCAAACUGAAGAUAAAAGGUUUUUGUGAAGGACAGGCAAUUAUCUCUGCAUCAGUGAAAGGCAGGAUCUCUUUAGGGGAGAUCAGGCCCUCUUUGGGAGUUUUCUUUACUAUGCUCAGUUCAGUUUCUCUUGGAGCUCUAGCCUUCAGAAUCCUUGAUAAGCUU
This 3916-nucleotide long non-coding RNA is filed under the name Sarcophilus harrisii (Tasmanian devil). RNAcentral describes it as "lncRNA (ENSSHAG00000028719.1)". Lineage: Eukaryota; Metazoa; Chordata; Mammalia; Dasyuromorphia; Dasyuridae. The record is from RNAcentral.